Molecule: long non-coding RNA, 1153 nt
Organism: Herpailurus yagouaroundi (jaguarundi)
Lineage: Eukaryota; Metazoa; Chordata; Mammalia; Carnivora; Felidae
Exons: 4
Source: RefSeq, a predicted model, not a curated record
CUAAGUCCGCCCGUUCGGAGAGCGCCGCUUCCGCCCCGGUGGGAAGGACCUCCCCUCCCCCUAUAGAGAAACACUCUCCUCUGGCCCGGUGGGGUCCGGUUUGUGAUUCAGGAAUUGGAUGAGUCUCUGUGGCUUGUUUUGCCCUGAAGAGCAGAAGGCUUCGGUCCCAGCUGGUGUUGCCAAAGCAGCAUACUAAUUCCAUGCCAUGGUCCUGGGUCAAGAUCUGCACAAUCUGAUUGGCCAUAUCACCUCGGAUGGCAAGGGAACGGAAGUGGUCAAAGUCAUGGAGGCCCAGCUUCCGGAGACGCCUUGCAGCUGCCCGGUAUCUCAGACCUCAGGGAGAAAGAAAGGAUUCCAAGGGCAUAGCCAGCAUUCUUUACCAGGAAGGUGAAGAAAGUGUGGCUGGAAACAACCCAGAUGUCCAACAAUAGUAGCAUGGAUGAAGAAAUGUGGUAUAUUCAUUAAGAUGGAAUACUAAAUAGCCGUUAAAAAUGAAGGAAUUCAGCUCAGUGCAUCAACAUGGAUGACUCUUACAAAUAUACAAUGUUCAGCAAAAAAGCAAGACACACGCAAAAAAUACAUGGCAAGCUUCCAUUUAUAUGAAUUUCAAAAAUGGAUAAGAUUAAAUUACAUUGUUUAGGGAUACAAAAAUAGUGAGCUAUAAAGAAAAUCAAGGAAAUAAGCAUAAGUCAGGCUAGUUGUUCCCUCUGGGUGGAGGGGGGCGGUUUAGGAACAGAGAAAGUUAAGGGACUUUUGGGGUUCUGACAAUGUUUUAUUCUUGAUCUGGACAAUGGCCAUAAAGGUGUCUGCUUUAUAAUAGUUCAUAAAGUGUAAAUUUAUGUCUUAUGCACUUUUCUGUAUGUGUGGCAUAGUUCACAAAAAAUUCUUUUAAAAAGUCAUGCUGUUGUUGUAGAUUAAGGACCAUAUUUAGAGUAGGAAGGUCCUAUACUACGCUGCUUAAUUUUCUCCCCAUUUCUAUACUUAUUUCUUUGCUGACUCCCUCUUCCUGUCUGAUCUUGGGUGUGCCAGUUUCACUAGUCAUUUGUCACUUCAUCCUUCCUCGACCACAUCUCUUCACCUUCUCCAACCUCAAUUCCCCAAACCCAGAAUACCCUGGAAGCUUGAAAAGUAAAAUAUAGACUCAAGGGCUCAA